CCCUUUUUCACUCUCCUUUAAAGGCUUCAAGCUAAAUCAGUAAAUCAAACUAAAGCUUGAAGCCUUAAAGGAGAGUGAAGAAAA
RNAcentral lists this microRNA precursor (84 nucleotides) under Corchorus capsularis. Its description in RNAcentral is "pre miRNA MIR477". It matches the Rfam family "MIR473 microRNA precursor family". The record is from RNAcentral. Lineage: Eukaryota; Viridiplantae; Streptophyta; Magnoliopsida; Malvales; Malvaceae.